This 497-nucleotide ribosomal RNA is filed under the name uncultured bacterium. Its description in RNAcentral is "partial 16S ribosomal RNA". It matches the Rfam family "Bacterial small subunit ribosomal RNA", at positions 28 to 507 of the family's 1533-position model. The record is from RNAcentral.
GAUGAACGCUGGCGGCGUGCCUAAUACAUGCAAGUCGAGCGAACAGACGAGGAGCUUGCUCCUCUGACGUUAGCGGCGGACGGGUGAGUAACACGUGGAUAACCUACCUAUAAGACUGGGAUAACUUCGGGAAACCGGAGCUAAUACCGGAUAAUAUAUUGAACCGCAUGGUUCAAUAGUGAAAGACGGUUUUGCUGUCACUUAUAGAUGGAUCCGCGCCGCAUUAGCUAGUUGGUAAGGUAACGGCUUACCAAGGCAACGAUGCGUAGCCGACCUGAGAGGGUGAUCGGCCACACUGGAACUGAGACACGGUCCAGACUCCUACGGGAGGCAGCAGUAGGGAAUCUUCCGCAAUGGGCGAAAGCCUGACGGAGCAACGCCGCGUGAGUGAUGAAGGUCUUCGGAUCGUAAAACUCUGUUAUUAGGGAAGAACAAAUGUGUAAGUAACUAUGCACGGCUUGACGGUACCUGAUCAGAAAGCCACGGCUAACUACGUG